This 259-nucleotide ribosomal RNA is filed under the name uncultured bacterium. RNAcentral describes it as "partial 16S ribosomal RNA". It matches the Rfam family "Bacterial small subunit ribosomal RNA", at positions 793 to 1055 of the family's 1533-position model. The record is from RNAcentral.
GUCCACACAGUAAACGAUGAAUACUCGCUGUUUGCAAUAUACCGCAAGCGGCCAAGCGAAAGCAUUAAGUAUUCCACCUGGGGAGUACGCCGGCAACGGUGAAACUCAAAGGAAUUGACGGGGGCCCGCACAAGCGGAGGAACAUGUGGUUUAAUUUCGAUGAUACGCGAGGAACCUUACCCGGGCGUUAAAUUGCAACUGAAUAUAGUGGAAACACUAUAGCCGCAAGGCAGUUGUGAAGGUGCUGCAUGGUUGUCGU